This 253-nucleotide ribosomal RNA is filed under the name uncultured bacterium. Its description in RNAcentral is "partial 16S ribosomal RNA". It matches the Rfam family "Bacterial small subunit ribosomal RNA", at positions 524 to 776 of the family's 1533-position model. The record is from RNAcentral.
UACGGAGGGUGCGAGCGUUGUCCGGAUUUAUUGGGUUUAAAGGGUGCGUAGGCGGCCCGUUGAGUCCGAGGUGAAAGCCCGUUGCUCAACAACGGAACUGCCUUGGAUACUGACGGGCUUGAGUACAGACGAGGUUGGCGGAAUGGACCGAGUAGCGGUGAAAUGCAUAGAUACGAUCCAGAACCCCGAUUGCGAAGGCAGCUGACUAGGCUGAUACUGACGCUGAGGCACGACAGCGUGGGGAGCGAACAGG